RNAcentral lists this long non-coding RNA (881 nucleotides) under Trifolium pratense (red clover). Its description in RNAcentral is "long non-coding RNA (TPRA_LNC001897)". The record is from RNAcentral. Lineage: Eukaryota; Viridiplantae; Streptophyta; Magnoliopsida; Fabales; Fabaceae.
CUCUGUCGUGUCCAUAUUUCCCGUCGUAUCCUCGUCCUGAAUAUUUAUGACUGGAACCCUUUAACAACUUGGUAAGCCAACCCAUACAAUCUUGUUAUCUGUAGGUUGGCAAACCUUAUCUCGAAAUUUACCUACAAUUUACAUAAAAUGAAAUCGCGCAGAUUAAUGAAGCAUGCCAAGAAACUACAAGUCCUCAAAAUUCAAUCAAACAUCAUAUGCAGCAGCAGCAGCAGCACGAUAAUCAUUAAUCCGGAUUCAUAAAAGAAAAUUACUAGAAAAUACACAAACAAAUUCUACCAGCAAACAUUCUCUAAUACUAUAUAAACAAUUAAAUGAAGAGAAAGCAAGAAUUACUCUUUCAAAAGCAAGAAAAAAGCUGAAUUUUGAAUCCAAAUCCAAUCAAGCACACUAGAUAGUAAAUAGCUCAAACCAACAACACACAAAUAUAGCUUCAUAAUUAAUAAAAAAACUAUUUUUUUUUCUUCAUUUACUUUUUCAACUCUGAAAGCAACAACUAAAUAUAGCUGGAUAAUUAAUAAAAAUUUAAUAGAAUUGCUUGAAAGGAAUUCAAAUUGCACAUGCCUAUAAAAAAAGAAACAAUCUUUCACCAACCCCACCAUCAAUAUUGAUUGAAAACACAGCAAGCAUAAACAAAACAACCCAUGAUUGAAAAUUUGUUAGAGCAAAGAUAGUAAAAGGAACAAAAGAAAGGAACUUUAUGAGUCACAAGAGAACUUACCAGGAAAAGAUUAUGAAUCAGAUGAAUCAAAUGAAUCCCAACUUUAUUGUAUAAAAAAAUAUAUAAAAAAAUUGAAUGAAAUGAAUAUUUGAUUCACAUUAAUACAUAUAGAGUCAAACCCAACCACACAGAGAGAGUAAUA